Molecule: long non-coding RNA, 1232 nt
Organism: Clarias gariepinus (North African catfish)
Lineage: Eukaryota; Metazoa; Chordata; Actinopteri; Siluriformes; Clariidae
Exons: 7
Source: RefSeq, a predicted model, not a curated record
CUUUCUCUGCAAUAUCUAGCAAUAGUGAUCCCCCCAGUAAAGAUGCCAAAGAUGACACAAGUAAAAAGUGCCCAAUAUGCCAAGUUACGUACCCUCCUGAUUAUAUUGAGAUUCAUGCCAGUGCUUGUUGAGAAAGCUUUACAGCCAGUGUCCUGAAUGGGAUUUGUCAGACAUUGAGACAGUGGAUGUUGACACUGCGGAAGAAGCUGGUCCAUCAGGCAUAGCUUCCCAGACCACUAACUACCAAAAUCUGCCAACUAUGCUUUACUAAUGAAGCAAAGGAAUGGAAAAUUGUGCCCGGCCCCAUAAAGGCAGCUGAAUUGUUCAGGCAGUCUGUACUUAAAGUUCAUGCAUCUAAAAAAAACAUUGUACUUGCAUAUUGACCUUACAAGCAGUAUCUCAGACCAAGAAGCAACUCUCAUCGCUUUUUACAAAGCAUGUAAUGUGAAAUGGGCAUGUCCUCUGAAAACCAGGCUUGAAGGGGACCCUGCUGUUGGAGAGGGUGUAAACCGCUUCUUAUUUUCAAUGAUUACACAGAAACUGAAAUGUGGUUUUCACCUUAAUUUUGGAAAUGCCAACAUUACACGGAUUUUUGAUGGAGAGCCAGAUCACUCUGAACCAACACCUGAAGAGAAGGAGAGCAUUAAUGAUUUGUGCUUUUCGUGGGACCUUCCUACAAUGAACAGUGCUAAUCGACGAUGGCUCUAUGAGAGGCUUCUACAUCAUGCGGUAAUCGGACGAACUAUGAGGCAAAUCAAGCAACUACGAAAAGGAUUGAAGGAGACCAUGCUGUGGCCACUAAUUUGUCAGCGUCCAGAUGUGGUUCCACUUAUUUUUCCACGUGAAAAAAAAUGAUGUGUUGACCUCAGAGUUUUUCCUAAACUGCAUCAUCUGGCCUUCCAAUGACGGGGACAAUGACGAGGACGAUGAUGAAUGCUCUUUGGAAGAUAAGAGUCGGGUUGCUGGUAUAUAUAAAUAUAUUCAAAUAUAUAUUUAAAGUGUCAUUAAUGUAAAGUUUCAACCUAUAUUCUAACCAUAUUUUGACAGUUUAUAUAAAUAACCAAUGACAAGCAGACCAGAAGUUACAGUAAUAGAGAUUCCUCUGAAUGUUACAUUUAUUUUAUGACAUAUACAAACAUAUGUAAAUUUACAUUCAUUUAAUUGCCGAUAUGUUAUCAGAUGAUAAGUCAUUAUCUUAACUCUAUAAAUGCAAAGUGAGUGAUUUUACUUAA